GACGAACGCUGGCGGCGUGCUCAACACAUGCAAGUCGAACGAUGAACCAGGAGCUUGCUCUUGGGGAUUAGUGGCGAACGGGUGAGUAACACGUGGGCAACCUGCCCCAGACACUGGGAUAACUCCGGGAAACCGGAGCUAAUACCGGAUACGACCACUUCGGGCAUCCGACGGUGGUGGAAAGUUUUUCGGUCUGGGAUGGGCCCGCGGCCUAUCAGCUAGUUGGUGGGGUAAUGGCCUACCAAGGCGACGACGGGUAGCCGGCCUGAGAGGGCGACCGGCCACACUGGAACUGAGACACGGUCCAGACUCCUACGGGAGGCAGCAGUGGGGAAUAUUGCGCAAUGGGCGAAAGCCUGACGCAGCGACGCCGCGUGAGGGACGACGGCCUUCGGGUUGUAAACCUCUUUCAGCAGGGACGAAGCGAAAGUGACUGUACCUGCAGAAGAAGCACCGGCUAACUACGUGCCAGCCGCCGCAGUAA
Molecule: ribosomal RNA, 484 nt
Filed under: uncultured bacterium
Lineage: Bacteria
Description: partial 16S ribosomal RNA
Rfam family: Bacterial small subunit ribosomal RNA
Source: RNAcentral